GGAGAGGUGGCAGAGUGGUCGAAUGCGGCGGUCUUGAAAACCGUUGACCGGAAACGGUCCGGGGGUUCGAAUCCCUCCCUCUCCGCCA
Molecule: transfer RNA, 88 nt
Filed under: Gammaproteobacteria bacterium
Lineage: Bacteria; Pseudomonadati; Pseudomonadota; Gammaproteobacteria
Also listed under: 1 other name
Description: tRNA-Ser
Rfam family: tRNA
About the family: Transfer RNA (tRNA) molecules are approximately 80 nucleotides in length. Their secondary structure includes four short double-helical elements and three loops (D, anti-codon, and T loops).
Source: RNAcentral